AUCAGAUGAAAGAUAGGGGGAGUCCCUGAGGUCACUGUUCACCCUCCUGUUUGAGAAAUGGAGUCCCUGGAGUUAAUAUAUAUUCAUGUUUGUGACAAUAUGAAAAAUCAAAUGAAAUAUAGGAAGAGUCGCUAGGGGUCACUCACCCCUCCUGUUUUAGAAUUUAAAAAUGGUCAAGAUCCAUACCCCUAAACCAUAUAUACUCAUGUAUGGGACAAUAUAACAAAUUAAAUGAAAUAUAGGGAAGUCCCUGUGGUCAUCCCAACCCUCCUGUUUGAGAACUUGGAAACGGUCGAGAUCCCCACACCAAAACAAUAUAUAUUCAUGUAUGGAUCAAUAUAACUAAUUAAAUGAAAUAUAGGGGGAGUCCCUUGGGUCACCCUACCCCUCCUGUUUGAGAACUUGGAAACCAAUGAGAUCCCCACCCCUAAAACAUAUAUAUUCAUGUAUGGUCAUCC
This 458-nucleotide long non-coding RNA is filed under the name Mytilus galloprovincialis (Mediterranean mussel). Lineage: Eukaryota; Metazoa; Mollusca; Bivalvia; Mytilida; Mytilidae. The record is from RNAcentral.